CGAGCACGCGCGUGUGGCAUAUCAAUAAGCGGAGGAAAAGAAACUAACAAGGAUUCCCUUAGUAACGGCGAGUGAGGCGGGAAGAGCUCAAAUUUGAAAUCUUCAAGGUUCUACCUUGACGAAUUGUAGUUUAUAGAAGUGUUUUCUGUUAGUGGAGUGGCAAAAGUUCUUUGGAAUAGGACAUCAUAGAGGGUGAGAAUCCCGUAUUUGGUCAUUCCUCCUAGCGUUGUGAUACACUUUCAACGAGUCGGAUUGUUUGGGAAUGCAGUCCAAAAUGGGUGGUAAAUUUCAUCUAAAGCUAAAUAUUGGCGAGAGACCGAUAGCGAACAAGUACCGUGAGGGAAAGAUGAAAAGAACUUUGAAAAGAGAGUUAAACAGUACGUGAAAUUGUCAAAAGGGAAGCGUUUGACACCAGUGUUGUUUUUCCGAAAAUCAAUUACGAAUGUUUUGUUUUUGAGGAGUUAUGACUUCAUCGGCUUGCUCCUUUCUUUAUGAAACUUUCUUAAUGCACUUUUCGGUUAACAAGUCAACAUCAAUUUCUUUUGUUGUAAAAGGGUAUGAGGAAGGUGGCUUUCUUUUCGGAGAAAGUGUUUAUAGCCUUGUACCUCUGCAAUCGGAGGGAUUGAGGUCUGCAGCGUAGAUCCUUCGGGGUUAGAUACAUUUGUGCUAAGUUAUAGCUUUUCAUAGACAACUUGUUGACUAUGUUAAGUCUUGUAGCUUACUCGCUUAUGCUAUUUUACCUACGCUUAGGAUGUUGAUGUGAUACUGCGAGCA
Molecule: ribosomal RNA, 774 nt
Filed under: uncultured Neocallimastigales
Lineage: Eukaryota; Fungi; Neocallimastigomycota; Neocallimastigomycetes; Neocallimastigales
Description: partial large subunit ribosomal RNA
Rfam family: Eukaryotic large subunit ribosomal RNA
Source: RNAcentral